Molecule: unclassified non-coding RNA, 253 nt
Filed under: uncultured Candidatus Berkelbacteria bacterium
Lineage: Bacteria; Candidatus Berkelbacteria
Description: contains 16S-23S intergenic spacer region
Rfam family: Bacterial small subunit ribosomal RNA
Source: RNAcentral
UACGGAGGGUGCAAGCGUUGUCCGGAUUUAUUGGGUGUAAAGCACAUGUAGGUGGUUUUGUAAGUCUUGUCUUAAAGCUCUGGGCUCAACCCAGAAUCUGGACGAGAUACUAUAAGGCUAGUGGUCAGCAGGGGCAAACAGAAUUCCCGGUGUAGGAGUGAAAUCCGUUGAUAUCGGGAGGAAUACCAAUGGCGAAGGCAGUUUGCUAGGCUGAUUCAGACACUGAGAUGUGAAAGCGUGGGGAGCGAACGGG